UGCAGUCGACGGCAGCACGGACUUCGGUCUGGUGGCGAGUGGCGAACGGGUGAGUAAUGUAUCGGAACGUGCCCAGUAGCGGGGGAUAACUACGCGAAAGCGUAGCUAAUACCGCAUACGCCCUACGGGGGAAAGCAGGGGAUCGCAAGACCUUGCACUAUUGGAGCGGCCGAUAUCGGAUUAGCUAGUUGGUGGGGUAACGGCUCACCAAGGCAACAAUCCGUAGCUGGUUUGAGAGGACGACCAGCCACACUGGGACUGAGACACGGCCCAGACUCCUACGGGAGGCAGCAGUGGGGAAUUUUGGACAAUGGGGGAAACCCUGAUCCAGCCAUCCCGCGUGUGCGAUGAAGGCCUUCGGGUUGUAAAGCACUUUUGGCAGGAAAGAAACGUCAUGGGUUAAUACCCCGUGAAACUGACGGAACCUGCAGAAUAAGCACCGGCUAACUACGUGCCAGCAGC
This 462-nucleotide ribosomal RNA is filed under the name uncultured Achromobacter sp. RNAcentral describes it as "bacterial SSU rRNA". It matches the Rfam family "Bacterial small subunit ribosomal RNA", at positions 56 to 515 of the family's 1533-position model. Lineage: Bacteria; Pseudomonadati; Pseudomonadota; Betaproteobacteria; Burkholderiales; Alcaligenaceae. The record is from RNAcentral.